AUCGCUUCUCGGCCUUUUGGCUAAGAUCAAGUGUAGUAUCUGUUCUUAUCAGUUUAAUAUCUAUAAAAAAAAACAAAACAAAACAUUA
Molecule: small nuclear RNA, 88 nt
Filed under: Myotis brandtii (Brandt's bat)
Lineage: Eukaryota; Metazoa; Chordata; Mammalia; Chiroptera; Vespertilionidae
Description: U2 spliceosomal RNA
Rfam family: U2 spliceosomal RNA
About the family: U2 is a small nuclear RNA (snRNA) component of the spliceosome (involved in pre-mRNA splicing). Complementary binding between U2 snRNA (in an area lying towards the 5' end but 3' to hairpin I) and the branchpoint sequence (BPS) of the intron results the bulging out of an unpaired adenosine, on the BPS, which initiates a nucleophilic attack at the intronic 5' splice site, thus starting the first of two transesterification reactions that mediate splicing.
Source: Rfam by way of RNAcentral